Molecule: ribosomal RNA, 331 nt
Filed under: uncultured Streptococcus sp.
Lineage: Bacteria; Bacillati; Bacillota; Bacilli; Lactobacillales; Streptococcaceae
Description: bacterial SSU rRNA
Rfam family: Bacterial small subunit ribosomal RNA
Source: RNAcentral
UUGUCGUCAGCUCGUGUCGUGAGAUGUUGGUUAAGUCCGCAACGAGCGCAACCCCUACUUGUUAGUUGCCAUCAUUCAGUUGGGCACUCUAGCGAGACUGCCGGUAAUAAACCGGAGGAAGGUGGGGAUGACGUCAAAUCAUCAUGCCCCUUAUGACCUGGGCUACACACGUGCUACAAUGGUUGGUACAACGAGUUGCGAGUCGGUGACGGCGAGCUAAUCUCUUAAAGCCAAUCUCAGUUCGGAUUGUAGGCUGCAACUCGCCUACAUGAAGUCGGAAUCGCUAGUAAUCGCGGAUCAGCACGCCGCGGUGAAUACGUUCCCGGGCCUU